GGAUGUGCUUAACACAUGCAAGUCGAGCGGACAGAUGGGAGCUUGCUCCCUGAUGUUAGCGGCGGACGGGUGAGUAACACGUGGGUAACCUGCCUGUAAGACUGGGAUAACUCCGGGAAACCGGGGCUAAUACCGGAUGGUUGUUUGAACCGCAUGGUUCAAACAUAAAAGGUGGCUUCGGCUACCACUUACAGAUGGACCCGCGGCGCAUUAGCUAGUUGGUGAGGUAACGGCUCACCAAGGCAAUUUUUUCUUAGCUAGACGGGGAGAGGGUGAUCGGCCACACUGGGACUGAGACACGGCCCAGACUCCUACGGGAGGCAGCAGUAGGGAAUCUUCCGCAAUGGACGAAAGUCUGACGGAGCAACGCCGCGUGAGUGAUUUUUUUUCGGAUCGUAAAGCUCUGUUGUUAGGGAAGAACAAGUACCGUCGAAUAGGGCGUACCUGACGACAACCCAAGCGG
This 463-nucleotide ribosomal RNA is filed under the name Bacillus subtilis. RNAcentral describes it as "bacterial SSU rRNA". It matches the Rfam family "Bacterial small subunit ribosomal RNA", at positions 41 to 497 of the family's 1533-position model. Lineage: Bacteria; Bacillati; Bacillota; Bacilli; Caryophanales; Bacillaceae. The record is from RNAcentral.